Molecule: ribosomal RNA, 253 nt
Filed under: uncultured bacterium
Lineage: Bacteria
Description: partial 16S ribosomal RNA
Rfam family: Bacterial small subunit ribosomal RNA
Source: RNAcentral
UACGGAGGGGGCUAGCGUUGUUCGGAAUUACUGGGCGUAAAGCGCACGUAGGCGGCUUUGUAAGUUGGAGGUGAAAGCCCAGGGCUUAACCCUGGAAUUGCCUUUAAGACUGCAUCGCUAGAAUCGUGGAGAGGUGAGUGGAAUUCCGAGUGUAGAGGUGAAAUUCGUAGAUAUUCGGAAGAACACCAGUGGCGAAGGCGACUCACUGGACACGUAUUGACGCUGAGGUGCGAAAGCGUGGGGAGCAAACAGG